AGUGAACGCUGGCGGUAGGCCUAACACAUGCAAGUCGAACGGCAGCACAGUAAGAGCUUGCUCUUACGGGUGGCGAGUGGCGGACGGGUGAGGAAUACAUCGGAAUCUACUUUUUCGUGGGGGAUAGCGUAGGGAAACUUACGCUAAUACCGCAUACGACCUACGGGUGAAAGCAGGGGAUCUUCGGACCUUGCGCGAUUGAAUGAGCCGAUGUCGGAUUAGCUAGUUGGCGGGGUAAAGGCCCACCAAGGCGACGAUCCGUAGCUGGUCUGAGAGGAUGAUCAGCCACACUGGAACUGAGACACGGUCCAGACUCCUACGGGAGGCAGCAGUGGGGAAUAUUGGACAAUGGGCGCAAGCCUGAUCCAGCCAUACCGCGUGGGUGAAGAAGGCCUUCGGGUUGUAAAGCCCUGUUGUUAGGAAAGAAAAGCAGCAGGUUAAUACCCCGCUGUUCUGACGGUACCCAAAGAAUAAGCACCGGCUAACUUCGUG
This 492-nucleotide ribosomal RNA is filed under the name uncultured bacterium. RNAcentral's name for it is "partial 16S ribosomal RNA". It matches the Rfam family "Bacterial small subunit ribosomal RNA", at positions 29 to 507 of the family's 1533-position model. The record is from RNAcentral.